Molecule: long non-coding RNA, 880 nt
Filed under: Homo sapiens (human)
Lineage: Eukaryota; Metazoa; Chordata; Mammalia; Primates; Hominidae
Description: HSALNT0079639
Source: RNAcentral
ACUCUGUCAUCCCAAGUUUUCCUUGCCCAUGGAAAACUGAACAGAAAACUGUUCACAAUUGCAAGAAAUACUAAAUUUCAUCUCCGGGUCAGUGAAGAUAAAGAAAAUGGAGAAAUGUGGGCUUAAAGAGGAAGGCAGUUACACGGACAUAGAUCCAGGGUCAUGUAAGGAUUCCAUCACUAGAAGCCAGAAUUCUAACUAGUACAGACCCAGAAUUGUAUUACGGUAUCUAAUAGAUCUGACUUAAGUGCCUCUGUGCUAUGUUAUUUGGCACAUGAAAAUGCAUGACCACGUUAUCUUCAUUGUGAAUAUUUUACGCCACUUGAAUCCAGCUUUACUAUUGUUAACGCAAAAUAUCUGAGACAAGUCUCAGCCAGUUUAGGAAGUUUAUGUUGCCAAAGUUAAGGAUAUGCCUGUGACACAGUCCGAUUGUCCUAAACAGUUCCCAGCCUGACUUUUCCCUUUAGCUUAGUGAUUUUGGGGUCCCAAAAUUUAUUUUCCCUUCACACUAUUAAUACCAUCUCCAUCUCCACUAUUUUUCCCCCUCCCAUUCUCCUCCUCCUCCUCCUUUUCUUGCUCCUCUGCCUUUUUCUUCUUGUUCCGUGCCCAUUCUGGUUUUUUUUUCAACUUUCCUGCACUUUUUUGUUUCAAUGUGCUUCCCAGCACUUAGUUGGGCUCUGAUUUUAAUCAACUGCAAGACACUAUCUGUCUUGCAGUAUUAUAGUAUUUGUUUAUUUCCACUAUUCUAAUUUUGAUUUAACUUGAGACAUCUUGUUUUAUGCUUUCUCUUUUAACACUUACUUUGUUUUCUCAUGUUUUGGAAGAGGUAUUUAUUGAUUCAACAAUAUUUACUCAAGAAUAAAUGUCAUAUAUUGUGACA